Small nucleolar RNA from Nycticebus coucang (slow loris), 137 nucleotides. RefSeq annotates it as small nucleolar RNA SNORA38. Lineage: Eukaryota; Metazoa; Chordata; Mammalia; Primates; Lorisidae. The transcript has a single exon. The record is from RefSeq and is a predicted model, not a curated record.
UGUUUCAACAUAUAUGUUCAUGAAAAGUUACAUGCAUCUCUUUGGACACGUAAGAAUUGGAGGCAAAGAAAUGUGGAUUUGGAGAAGUCUGGGGCCAGCUUACUCCCCACAGGCUCAAGAUCAACCAUCCCACAUAG